Molecule: ribosomal RNA, 494 nt
Filed under: uncultured bacterium
Lineage: Bacteria
Description: partial 16S ribosomal RNA
Rfam family: Bacterial small subunit ribosomal RNA
Source: RNAcentral
GACGAACGCUGGCGGCGUGCUUAACACAUGCAAGUCGAACGGUGAAGCGCCUUCCUUUUUGGUGGGUGUGGAUGAGUGGCGAACGGGUGAGUAACACGUGAGUAACCUGCCCCCUUCUUCUGGAUAACCGCAUGAAAGUGUGGCUAAUACGGGAUAUUCUGGGUCUGUCGCAUGAUGGGUCUGGGAAAGAUAUUGUUUCGGUGGGUGAUGGGCUCGCGGCCUAUCAGCUUGUUGGUGGGGUGAUGGCCUACCAAGGCGGUGACGGGUAGCCGGCCUGAGAGGGUGGACGGUCACACUGGGACUGAGACACGGCCCAGACUCCUACGGGAGGCAGCAGUGGGGAAUAUUGAACAAUGGGCGCAAGCCUGAUGCAGCGACGCCGCGUGAGGGAUGGAGGCCUUCGGGUUGUGAACCUCUUUCGCCAGUGAAGCAGGCCUGCCUCGUUUGUGGGUGGGUUGACGGUAGCUGGAUAAGAAGCGCCGGCUAACUACGUG